This 632-nucleotide ribosomal RNA is filed under the name uncultured organism. Its description in RNAcentral is "bacterial SSU rRNA". It matches the Rfam family "Bacterial small subunit ribosomal RNA", at positions 789 to 1415 of the family's 1533-position model. The record is from RNAcentral.
GGUAGUCCACGCCAUGGACGAUGGGUACUAGGAGUCCGGGGCUAUCGACCCCUCCGGUGCCGCAGUGCACGCACUAAGUACACCGCCUGGGGAUCAUGGUAGCAAGGCUGCAACUCGAAGGAAUUGACGGGGCCCCGCACAAUCGGUCGAGCAUGUGGCUUAAUUCGACGCUAUGAGACGAACCUUACAUGGGCUUGACAUGUUUGGGACAGCGCUGGAAACAGCGUAUCUCUUUCGGGAGCCCUUGCACAGGUGCUGCAUGGCUGUCGUCAGCUCCCGUCGUGAGAUAUUGGGAUAAGUCCCGCAACGAGCGCAACCGUCGUUACUAGUAGCCAUCAGGUCGCCGGGGCACUUUAGUGAGAGUCCCGCUGAUACACCGCAGGAAGGCGAGGACGAUGUCAAGUCAUCAUGGCCCAUACAGGCCUAGGGUUACCACACAGUGCUACAAUGCUCGGCACAAAGGGUCACUAAGCAGCGAGGUGGAGCUAAUCCCAACCAGCAGGCCUCAGGUCGGACCGGAGUCUACAACUAGACUCCAUGAAGGCGAGAAUCGCUAGUAAUCGCGGAUCAGCACCCCGCGGUGAUAUGUACACGGGGAUUGUACACACCGCCGGUAUAUCACCCGAGUCGGG